ACUCAAAUGAAUUGACGGGGACCCGCACAAGCAGUGGAGUAUGUGGUUUAAUUCGAAGCAACGCGAAGAACCUUACCAGGUCUUGACAUCCCUUUGACCGGUCUGGAGACAGGCCUUCCCUUCGGGGCAAAGGAGACAGGUGGUGCAUGGUUGUCGUCAGCUCGUGUCGUGAGAUGUUGGGUUAAGUCCCGCAACGAGCGCAACCCUUGAUUUUAGUUGCCAGCACUUCGGGUGGGCACUCUAGAAUGACUGCCGGUGACAAACCGGAGGAAGGCGGGGAUGACGUCAAAUCAUCAUGCCCCUUAUGACCUGGGCUACACACGUACUACAAUGGCCGGUACAACGGGCUGCGAAAGAGCGAUCUGGAGCGAAUCCUAUAAAGCCGGUCUCAGUUCGGAUUGCAGGCUGCAACUCGCCUGCAUGAAGUCGGAAUUGCUAGUAAUCGCGGAUCAGCAUGCCGCGGUGAAUACGUUCCCGGGUCUUGCACACACCGCCCGU
This 498-nucleotide ribosomal RNA is filed under the name uncultured bacterium. RNAcentral's name for it is "partial 16S ribosomal RNA". It matches the Rfam family "Bacterial small subunit ribosomal RNA", at positions 899 to 1397 of the family's 1533-position model. The record is from RNAcentral.